This is an RNA transcript of Grammomys surdaster, 3969 nucleotides long. It is a transcript of the gene named gem nuclear organelle associated protein 4, with no coding region annotated. The transcript is spliced from 3 exons. The record is from RefSeq and is a predicted model, not a curated record. Lineage: Eukaryota; Metazoa; Chordata; Mammalia; Rodentia; Muridae.
CGUGGCGCGGGCGCCCGGUUCGCGGCCUUGGAAUAGGAGGGGCGGUCUAGCCCGCCGCCAGCGUCGCCGCCAUGGACUUAGGACCCUUGAAUAUCUGUGAGGAAAUGACUAUUCUGCAUGGGGGCUUCUUGAUGGCUGAGCAGCUGUUCCAUCCCAAAGCUCUGGUACAGUUAACAAAGUCUGAUUGGGAACACGUGGGACAGCCCAUUGUGGAGGCCUUGAAGGAGAUCUCCUCAGCCACCGCACAUUCUCAGCCAUUUGCCUGGAAGAAGAAAGCACUGAUCAUCAUCUGGGCCAAGGUUCUUCAGCCCUCCCCUGUCAGCCCUUCUGACACUGAUACUCGGUGGCAGGAAGAUGUGUUCUUCUCCGUGGGCAACAUGAUCCCUACCAUCAACCACACAGUCCUUUUUGAGCUGCUCAAGUCUCUGGAAGCUUCUGGACUCUUCAUUCAGCUCCUAAUGGCCCUGCCUACCACCAUUGGACGCUCAGAACUACAGAGCUUUCUGGAGCACUUGACUAUUGAUACUUCUUCCAAGGAUGUGGCCUUCUUCCUAGAUGUCUGGUGGGAAAUGAUGAAGCACAAGGGUGACCAGCAGGACCCCUUGCUUUCCCAGUUCAGGACGAUGGCCCAUAAAUACUUACCAUCCUCAGACGAGUUUUCCCAUCCUCCAAAGAGGUUUAAGUCUGACCCAGAUGUAGGUCCCAUCAUGCCACUUUUGGCCAUGCUGCUUAACGGGCUGAAGCAGAUCCAAAAGAGAAUCCUGUCCCUUGGAAUGAAGUGCUGUGCAUUAGCUAACUUGGCUGACAUGCUGAGUGUGUUUGCACUGAUGGAGGAUGACACCCAGGAGGUGUCUGCCACUGUGUACCUAGACAAACUCGCUACAGUGAUCUCUGUGUGGAAUUCGGACACCCAGAACCCAUACCAUCAACAGGCCCUGGCAGACAAGGUAAAGGAGGCAGAGCGAGAUGUGAGUCUCACCUCACUGGCCAAACUCCCCAGUGAGACUGUUUUCAUGGGGUUUGAGCUUAUGUACAACCUGCUGCAGGAGUGGGGUGCAGAGCUGCAGGGCAUGCUCAACAGCAGUCAGGGAACAAAUUAUGACACAUACCGGCUGUGUGACAGUCUGACUUCCUUCAGCCAGAACUUGGAGCUCUACCUGGAUACUACCAACAUGCCUAAGGAAGAGAGGGAGGUGGUCUCGGAAUUGGCUGAGUGUGUCAGGGACUUCCUGAGGAAAACCAGCAGAAUGCUGAAUGACAAGGGCCUUGAGGACAUCACUGCCUCCAUUGCCAUGGCCAUCAUUGAACAGAAGAUGGACCGGCACAUGGAAAUGUGCUACAUUUUUGCUUCUGAGAAGAAGUGGGCCUUUUCAGAUGAGUGGGUUGCCUGCCUGGUUAACAACAGGUCUCUCUUCAGAGAACCAGACUUGGUCUUGAGUCUGCUGGAAACAGUGAUUGAAGUCAUCAACUCUAAUAAGGUUAUCCCCCAGACUCAGAUCAAGCAGGUAAUCUGCUUGACCCUGCAAUGCUAUGAAGACCUCUCUCUUCCAGACAAAAAUAAAGUUCUUUCUGGUAUCCUGCAUUAUUUGGGGCCAAAGGGCCUCUCAGACAGGUUGUCUGAUUACUUGGAGGGUUUCCAGGAAGACCUCAAUACAACAUUUAACCAGCUUGCACAGAGUACCUCUGAACAGGGCCUGUCUAAAGCUGUGGCCUCUGUGGCCCACCUGGUUAUCCUGAACCCAGAAGUUGUGGUGAAGAAGAUGUGUAGCCUAGCUGUGACCAAUCUUGGUACACAUAGGUUCCUGGCUCAGAUUCUCACUGCCUUCCCUGCCCUGAAGUUCACAGAAGAACAAGGGCCAAAUCUAUAUACUAGUUUCAUGGUGUCCUGCCUCAAAGAAACUGUCUGGACCAAGUUCUCUACACCCAAAGAAGAGAAACAGUUUCUGGAGCUGGUAAGCUGCCUGAUGAAUCCUGUGAAACCACAGGGGAUUCCAAUUGCUGCUCUUCUGGAGCCAGAUGAGGUGCUGAAGGAGUUUGUCCUACCUUUCUUGAUGCUAGACAUGGAGGAAGUAGGCCUGAGUCUGAAGCUCUUCAUCCAGACCCUUGAAGCCAAUGCAGGCUUGGAAGAGUAUUGGCUGCAGACCUGCUCCCCAUUCCCCCUGCUCUUCAGCUUGUGCCAGCUCCUGGACAGCUUUAGCAAGUUCUGGCAGCUCCCACGGGAGAAGCGCUUCCUCACUCUGGACAGCAAGGAUCUUGUGACCCACAUUCUAGAGCUCCUCUGUGAGAUUGUGCUAGCCAACACAGAAACCUUCUCCCCAGACACCUGGGCCAAGUCUCUGUCCUGGCUCCACCGCAAAUUAGACCAGCUAGAUUGGACUGUGGGCCUGAGACUGAAGAAUUUCUUUGAAGGCCACUUCAAGUGUGAGGUGCCAGCUACCCUUUUUGAGAUCUGUAAGCUUUCUGAGGCCCAGUGGACCUCACAAGCCCACGAAGGUUAUGGGCCUGGCACGGGGCUUCUCGCCUGGAUGGAAUGCUGUUCAAUCUCCAGCUGUAUCUCUGAACAGAUGCUUUCCCUCCUGGUGGUAGAUGUGGGCAAUCCUGAGGAGGUCAGAUUGUUUAGCAAGGGCUUUCUGGUGGCCCUUGUACAAGUCAUGCCUUGGUGUAGCCCCCAGGAAUGGCAGUAUCUUCAGCAGCUGACCAGGAAGCUAUUGGAGAAACAGCUUCUUCAUGUCCCUUACAGUCUAGAGUAUAUCCAGUUUGUUCCCCUGCUCAACCUGAGGCCUUUUGCCCAGGAACUUCAACUCUCUGUUCUUUCGUUGAGAGCUUUCCAGUUUCUUUGCAGUCAGAGCUGUUGUAACUGGCUUCCUUUGGACGGUUGGAGCCAUGUAGUCAAACUCCUCUGUAGUAGUCUGACCAGUGUCCUGGAUGCAGUCAGGUUGAUACAGUCAGUGGGUCCCUGGGCCCAGGGACAAGAAGGAGAUCUUACUCAGGAAACCUUGUUUGUCUAUACCCAGAUGUUCUGUCAUGUUCUGCAUAUCAUGGCCAUGCUCCCGCAGGAGGUCUGUGAACCCCUCUACGUGCUGGCCUUGGAAAUCCUUACCUGCUAUGAGACCCUAAGCAAAACCAACCCUUCUGUCAGCUCCUUGCUCCAGAAGGUAGAUGAGCAGCGCUUCUUAAAGUCUAUUGCCAAGAACAUUAGCCCUGAGGAGCGGCGCCAAACCCUGCUACAAAAGAUCAACAACCUCUGACCCGUGGAGGGCAGAACAAAGCUAUGCAUCCAACACGGUGUUUCUGCAGGGCCCAGAGCUAAGAACAAACCUUGUUAUGAGAAUGGACACAGGGAAAGGAAUACAAGAGCAGUGUAAAGAAAUAGUUUCUUAGGCAGGCUUCUACCCUCCCAACUCCUAAUUGGGAUCCACCAGAGGAAGAGAAACUUGAAGUUACACGUGAACACUGAGCUUGAAUUCUGGGCACCUUCCGUGUAGUGUAUCCUUUGGUACCUUGAACCAACAUGUUGGAUGAAGGUAUGAGUAAGACCUGCCUGGAGGCCAUUCGCCUUCCGUAACCAGACUAGGAAUUACCGAACACAGCACUUAGGCUGGGUCUCUGAUGUUUGGGGAAGUCAGCACCAGUGCACGUAACAAAUAUAGAAUUUAGUGCAAUUUAAUUACCAUAUGGAUCACUUGUGUAUACAGUAAACAGAACAAAAGACACAAAACAGCAUUUUUAAAUGGUUUUUAAAUGGCACCUAUUAAAGACUGAAACUCAAAAAUCGAGACACAACCAUCCGGUCCUUUAGAAGUCCACAGACAGUGAAUUAUAAGGCACUGUAGUGUUUUUGCUGCCACCUGAAGUGGCAGUAGGUCCUCUCAGACCCAAUCUGUGGUGGAGGAUGAUCAGUGCUACACCACAUCCUACUGCACACAGCUAAUGGCAUUGGUCCACAGGACAUGCUCUGGCUGGUCUGCC